CCUACGGGGGGCAGCAGUAGGGAAUUUUCCACAAUGGGCGAAAGCCUGAUGGAGCAACGCCGCGUGGGUGAAGAAGGUCUUCGGAUCGUAAAACCCUGUUGUUAGAGAAGAAAGUGCGUGAGAGUAACUGUUCACGUUUCGACGGUAUCUAACCAGAAAGCCGCGGCUAACUACGUGCCAGCAGCCGCGGUAAUACGUAGGUGGCAAGCGUUAGCCGGAUUUAUUGGGCGUAAAGGGAACGCAGGCGGUCUUUUAAGUCUGAUGUGAAAGCCUUCGGCUUAACCGGAGUAGUGCAUUGGAAGCUGGGGGACGUGAGUGCAGAAGAGGAGAGUGGAACUCCAUGUGUAGCGGUGAAAUGCGUAGAUAUAUGGAAGAACACCAGUGGCGAAAGCGGCUCUCUGGUCUGUAACUGACGCUGAGGUUCGAAAGCGUGGGUAGCAAACAGGAUUAGAUACCCGGGUAGUC
RNAcentral lists this ribosomal RNA (465 nucleotides) under uncultured bacterium. RNAcentral describes it as "partial 16S ribosomal RNA". It matches the Rfam family "Bacterial small subunit ribosomal RNA", at positions 338 to 795 of the family's 1533-position model. The record is from RNAcentral.